AUGUUUGCUCACGGACACUUCCUGCAGAAACCAACGCUGGCCUUAAACGGACUCCUCUCAGCCUUGUGCUGUUUGGUUUGUGUGAACGGUUUGCUGGUCUCAGGUACCGGUUGUGUGUGUGUUGGUCUCAGGUACAGGUUGUGUGUGUGUUGGUCUCAGGUACAGUUUGUGUGUGUGUUGGUCUCAGGUACCGGUUGUGUGUGUGUUGGUCUCAGGUACAGGUUGUGUGUGUGUGUUGGUCUCAGGUACAGGUUGUGUUUGUUGGUCUCAGGUACAGGUUGUGUGUGUGUUGGUCUCAGGUACAGUUUGUGUGUGUGUUGGUCUCAGGUACCGGUUGUGUGUGUGUUGGUCUCAGGUACAGGUUGUGUGGAUGGUUUGCUGGUCUCAGGUACAAGUUGUGUGUGUGUGUUGGUCUCAGGUACAGGUUGUGUGUGUGUUGGUCUCAGGUACAGGUUGUGUGUGUGUUGGUCUCAGGUACCGGUUGUGUGUGUGUUGGUCUCAGGUACCGGUUGUGUGUGUGUUGGUCUCAGGUACAGUUUGUGUGUGUGUUGGUCUCAGGUACCGGUUGUGUGUGUGUUGGUCUCAGGUACAGGUUGUGUGGAUGGUUUGCUGGUCUCAGGUACAAGUUGUGUGUGUGUGUUGGUCUCAGGUACAGGUUGUGUGCGCUGGUCUCAGGUACCGGUUGUGUGUGUGUUGGUCUCAGGUACAGGUUGUGUGUGUGUUGGUCUCAGGUACAGUUUGUGUGUGUGUUGGUCUCAGGUACCGGUUGUGUGUGUGUUGGUCUCAGGUACAGGUUGUGUGUGUGUUGGUCUCAGGUACAGUUUGUGUGUGUGUUGGUCUCAGGUACCGGUUGUGUGUGUGUUGGUCUCAGGUACAGGUUGUGUGUGUGUGUUGGUCUCAGGUACAGGUUGUGUGUGUGUUGGUCUCAGGUACCGGUUGUGUGUGUGUUGGUCUCAGGUACCGGUUGCGUGUGUGUUGGUCUCAGGUACCGGUUGUGUGUGUGUUGGUCUCAGGUACAAGUUGUGUGUGUGUGUUGGUCUCAGGUACAGGUUGUGUGCGCUGGUCUCAGGUACCGGUUGUGUGUGUGUUGGUCUCAGGUACCGGUUGUGUGUGUGUUGGUCUCAGGUACCGGUUGUGUGUGUGUUGGUCUCAGGUACCGGUUGUGUGUGUGUUGGUCUCAGGUACCGGUUGUGUGUUUGUUGGUCUCAGGUACAGGUUGUGUGUGUGUUGGUCUCAGGUACCGGUUGCGUGGGCGUAGCUGGUUCGCUCCUGUUGGCGAGAGGCUUCGUGGGCGUCCUGACCCCCUGGGGAGCAGCAGAUGCCCUCUGCCGGCCUCAUACGUGUAGCAGCACGUCAAUAGAGACGACAAGUCAAAUCCGCUGA
RNAcentral lists this long non-coding RNA (1383 nucleotides) under Betta splendens (Siamese fighting fish). RNAcentral describes it as "lncRNA (ENSBSLG00000013073.1)". The record is from RNAcentral. Lineage: Eukaryota; Metazoa; Chordata; Actinopteri; Anabantiformes; Osphronemidae.